CUUGAAGACUGUUUCUAAAGUGGAAGAACUGGAUUGUGUUGAUUCUGCUGUGUUAGUUGAUGUCUCUAAAAUAAUAACAUUGACCCAGGAGUUUAGAAGGCACUAUGACAGCGUUUACCGCGCGGAUUAUGGCCCUGCCCUCAAGAACUGGAAAAGAGACCUGUCCAAACUUUUCACCUCGUUGUUUGUAGAUGUCAUCAACAGUGGAAGAAUUGUUGGAUUUUUUGAUGUUGGCAGAUAUGUGUGUGAGGAGUUGCCUGACUCCCCGUCGUGUAGAUAACUACGAUACGGGAGGGCUUACCAUCUGGCCCCAGUGCUGCAAUGAUACCGCGAGACCCACGCUCACCGGCUCCAGAUUUAUCAGCAAUAAACCAGCCAGCCGGAAGGGCCGAGCGCAGAAGUGGUCCUGCAACUUUAUCCGCCUCCAUCCAGUCUAUUAAUUGUUGCCGGGAAGCUAGAGUAAGUAGUUCGCCAGUUAAUAGUUUGCGCAACGUUGUUGCCAUUGCUACAGGCAUCGUGGUGUCACGCUCGUCGUUUGGUAUGGCUUCAUUCAGCUCCGGUUCCCAACGAUCAAGGCGAGUUACAUGAUCCCCCAUGUUGUGCAAAAAAGCGGUUAGCUCCUUCGGUCCUCCGAUCGUUGUCAGAAGUAAGUUGGCCGCAGUGUUAUCACUCAUGGUUAUGGCAGCACUGCAUAAUUCUCUUACUGUCAUGCCAUCCGUAAGAUGCUUUUCUGUGACUGGUGAGUACUCAACCAAGUCAUUCUGAGAAUAGUGUAUGCGGCGACCGAGUUGCUCUUGCCCGGCGUCAAUACGGGAUAAUACCGCGCCACAUAGCAGAACUUUAAAAGUGCUCAUCAUUGGAAAACGUUCUUCGGGGCGAAAACUCUCAAGGAUCUUACCGCUGUUGAGAUCCAGUUCGAUGUAACCCACUCGUGCACCCAACUGAUCUUCAGCAUCUUUUACUUUCACCAGCGUUUCUGGGUCCAUAACAGCAUCAACCACUUUGUACAAGAAAGCUGGGUCGGCGCGCCCACCCUUUGUCUGAGACCCUUGUCCCUGUUGUCCUGGACUAGAUCCAGGUGAUCCUGUGGCACCUUGCUCUGCACCGGCAUCCAGAGAUGCUGUGGGACCAUGUUGUGUGCCAGAAGCUUGUGUACUUGUGGAUGGCUGCUCGGGGUCUGUAGGGGGCUCUGUAGGGGGCUCUGGUAAGGGAAAAUAAGGCUUUGCCUUGACUAUAGUACCUUCUACGCUGCUGUGGUAUUUUUCACAGUAGGCCAAGACAACCCUUUUUAGUUUUUUGGCCUGUUUCUUGUCUUCAACAAAUGAAAGUAAAUAGUAUGUUACACACUGUUGUGUUGUGCCUGGUACCAAGGGUAAACAGCUAACUGGUGUUGAGAGUACAUGUUUGCUUUGGAUACACUUGUGAAGUUUAUUCAAAGUGUAGGGAUGUGUGCUACUAAACAUAACAGCUGACUUAAAAUGUGUUGGGGGGUGACCCUCGGGAUCAAAUAACCUGGGUGCUGUCACCUGCAGGUGUCUUCGCAUUCCCUGAUAUUUUUUAGGCAAUGGAUCAGAUGGAUUAUGCGGUUUUUGAUACCUGGAGUAUCUUUUUGGUGGAGGGGGACCGGGAUCGUCUGUCUCUCCUACAUCUAAACCUUCAACAUCAACAUCUGGUGAUGGUGGGGCUGGUGGGGGGGAAGGAGAUGGUGGCUCAUGUACUGGUGAUGAAGGAGGGACGGGGGAUGAGGGAAGUGUUGGUGAUGAAGGGGGCACUGGUGGUGAUGGGGGGUUUGGCGUUUGAGUUCCCUGGCUGGACUCCUCAUCACCUUGGCAUCCCGGUGGUGGAGGAGGGGCUGGUCUUUUUGGAGCGCGGCGUCUUUUAGGAGGCAUGGCUGCUGGUUUGUUGAAGCACCUACGUUUGCACCCUGAUCUGGUUUUGCCUGAGGUUGUGUUGCGUGUAGUCGGUGGGGAUGUGGGCAUUAUCUGAAAGAGAUAAAGUACACAGUCACAACUUUUAGCACAGGAAGGGUGUGGGUCAAGUGUUUAUGCUUUAAAUUCUGUAGGCAGGUGUGUCACAGUUCUCCUUAAAGGGGACCUUCUUCCUGUUUCUCUACUUCUGACUCUGCAAGAAAGACAGACUGAGUGAGUGUCCCCACACCGGAGCCACGAUGCUUGUCCUGCGGGACCUGGACCUGGAAGAUCUUCAGGCAUUCUUAGAAAACUCAUCAUUGUCCUAUGACGAUUAUUAUGACAAUGCUACCUGGAUUCCAGAUUUGGCGAGCCCCUGUACGGUGUCCCUCAAGUAUGGGGUACUGUUUGCACUGGCUCUGUUUAUGUUUGUUCUGUCUGUGCUUGGAAAUCUGACGGUAGUGUGUGUGUUUUGUGCAUAUAGGGCGGCAUGUAAGGGGGCAGAUGUUUUGAUGCUAGUAUUUUGUUUUGUGUGCAUGUUGGCCUCUUUGGCUCAUGUGCUAGAAAUAUCUCACCUCCUGUACACCAUGCCAGGAUCUAUGCUAUUGUGUGUAUUAUUCACCCUUUAUGUAAGCACCUUGGACUUUUGUAUUGUAUUUAUAUUGAUGAUAAUUUCUAUACAUAGGUGUUUGCUAGUUAUGACUCCAAAUAGGCUGUUUUUGAAUAGUAAAUGCUUUGGAGCGUG
RNAcentral lists this long non-coding RNA (2652 nucleotides) under synthetic construct. RNAcentral's name for it is "ncORF73-AS01". The record is from RNAcentral.